Molecule: long non-coding RNA, 859 nt
Filed under: Calidris pugnax (ruff)
Lineage: Eukaryota; Metazoa; Chordata; Aves; Charadriiformes; Scolopacidae
Description: lncRNA (ENSCPUG00000001397.1)
Source: RNAcentral
GGUUGGUGGGGACCUGCCUCCUGCCCACCCCGGCUGGUGUCCCAGGGCCACCGUGGGGGGUCCUCUGUGACAUCGCUGUGGAGCUGGAAAGGGGUUUGCGCCAUGCGGUGCUGGCUCCUGCUGCUGGCCCUGCUGCUGGGGGCUGCCCUCUCACCCCACCAGAGGUAAUGGCAUUUCCUUCCUCUUCCUCCUCCUCCUCCUCCCUGCCCCCCUCCCCAUCUUGGGGGGGCUGGUGGGGGUAUUUUUAGGGUGCCCCCCCUCCAUUACUCCCCCCCCUUGCAGUCUACGCCUCCAUCAGCCUCUACCUGCUCCCCGAGCGCCCCGCCACCCUCAUCCUCUACGAGGACCUGGUCCAAAUCCUCCUGGGAUCCCCAGGUGCCCGGGGGCAGCCGUGGGCACAGUUCCCCCGGCGGGCAGCCCGCCUGCCCCGCAGCUCCACGUACAGCCAGCUCGCCGCGUCCCUCACCGCCGCCACCGGGCCCAGCCUGGCACGGGCCUUCCCCGCCUUCCUGGGGGCCGAGCAGGACGGCAGCGCCAAUGCCACCUGGCUGGAGCUGGCCCCCGUGGCGGCUCUCAGCGUCCACCUCUUCACCGGCAACGGGACGGAGGUGCCGCUGGCCGGCCCCAUCCAUCUCUCCGUCCCUUUGGCUCCCGACGCCGGGCCCGUGGUGGCCACCAGCGUGCCAGCCUGGAGGUUUGACCCCAAGAGCGGUGAGAGUUGGUUGGAGGGGACGGGGGGACGGGGGACAGGGGUGGCACGGCUCCUGCCAGGGAUGGCGGCGGUAGGGGUGAUGAGUUUGGGGGGGUCUCAGCCCGCUGCUGGGGGCCUGGGGGGGACGGGAUGGAUGUGUGUCCCUGC